UACGGAGGGUGCGAGCGUUUAUCGGAAUUACUGGGCGUAAAGGGCGCGUAGGUGGUUUGAUAAGUCAGUUGUGAAAUCCCCGGGCUUAACCUGGGAAUUGCAUUUGAUACUGUCGAACUAGAGUGUGGUAGAGGUAAGCGGAAUUCCCGGUGUAGCGGUGAAAUGCGUAGAUAUCGGGAGGAACAUCAGUGGCGAAGGCGGCUUACUGGAUUAACACUGACACUGAGGCGCGAAAGCGUGGGUAGCAAACAGG
This 253-nucleotide ribosomal RNA is filed under the name uncultured bacterium. RNAcentral's name for it is "partial 16S ribosomal RNA". It matches the Rfam family "Bacterial small subunit ribosomal RNA", at positions 524 to 776 of the family's 1533-position model. The record is from RNAcentral.